RNAcentral lists this ribosomal RNA (253 nucleotides) under uncultured bacterium. RNAcentral describes it as "partial 16S ribosomal RNA". It matches the Rfam family "Bacterial small subunit ribosomal RNA", at positions 524 to 776 of the family's 1533-position model. The record is from RNAcentral.
UACAGGGGGGGCAAGCGUUGUCCGGAAUUACUGGGCGUACAGCGCGCGCAGGCGGUCCACUACGUGCCGUGUGACAAACGUCGGCUUAACCGACGGAGGCCAGGGUACACGGGUGAACUUGAGGCAGAGAGAGGGAUGUGGAAUACCCGGUGGAGCGGUGAAAUGCGUAGAGAUCGGGUGGAACACCAGGGGCGAAGGCGGGUCUCUGGACAGUUCCUGACACUGAGGCACGAAGGCCAGGGGAGCAAACGGG